AUACUUACCUGGCAAGGGAGAUACCAUGAUCAAGAAGGUGGUUCACCCAGGGCGAGGUAUAGCCAUUGCACUUCGGCUGUAUUGACCCCUGCGAAUUCCCCAAAUGUGGGAAUCUCGAUUGCAUAAUUUCUGGUAGUGGGGGACUGCGUUCGCGCUCUCCCCUG
Small nuclear RNA from Platichthys flesus (European flounder), 164 nucleotides. RefSeq annotates it as U1 spliceosomal RNA. The record is from RefSeq and is a predicted model, not a curated record. The transcript has a single exon. Lineage: Eukaryota; Metazoa; Chordata; Actinopteri; Pleuronectiformes; Pleuronectidae.